AUACGGAGGGUGCAAGCGUUGUUCGGAAUUACUGGGCGUAAAGCGCGCGUAGGCGGUCUGUUAUGUCAGAUGUGAAAGUCCUCGGCUCAACCGGGGAAGUGCAUUUGAAACUGGCAGACUUGAGUACUAGAGGGGGUGGUGGAAUUCCCGGUGUAGAGGUGAAAUUCGUAGAUAUCGGGAGGAAUACCGGUGGCGAAGGCGACCACCUGGCCAGAUACUGACGCUGAGGUGCGAAAGCGUGGGGAGCAAACAGGAUUAGAAACCCCAGUAGUCC
RNAcentral lists this ribosomal RNA (274 nucleotides) under uncultured bacterium. RNAcentral's name for it is "partial 16S ribosomal RNA". It matches the Rfam family "Bacterial small subunit ribosomal RNA", at positions 523 to 796 of the family's 1533-position model. The record is from RNAcentral.